Molecule: ribosomal RNA, 571 nt
Filed under: Streptococcus hyovaginalis
Lineage: Bacteria; Bacillati; Bacillota; Bacilli; Lactobacillales; Streptococcaceae
Description: bacterial SSU rRNA
Rfam family: Bacterial small subunit ribosomal RNA
Source: RNAcentral
AGUCGCGAACGGGUGAGUAACGCGUAGGUAACCUGCCUGAUAGCGGGGGAUAACUAUUGGAAACGAUAGCUAAUACCGCAUAAGAGUCGUUAACACAUGUUAAUGAUUUAAAAGGAGCAAUUGCUUCACUAUCAGAUGGACCUGCGUUGUAUUAGCUAGUUGGUGAGGUAACGGCUCACCAAGGCUUCGAUACAUAGCCGACCUGAGAGGGUGAUCGGCCACACUGGGACUGAGACACGGCCCAGACUCCUACGGGAGGCAGCAGUAGGGAAUCUUCGGCAAUGGACGAAAGUCUGACCGAGCAACGCCGCGUGAGUGAAGAAGGUUUUCGGAUCGUAAAGCUCUGUUAUAAGCGAAGAACGGGAGUAAGAGUGGAAAGUUUACUCUGUGACGGUAGCUUAUCAGAAAGGGACGGCUAACUACGUGCCAGCAGCCGCGGUAAUACGUAGGUCCCGAGCGUUGUCCGGAUUUAUUGGGCGUAAAGCGAGCGCAGGUGGUUUAAUAAGUCUGAAGUUAAAGGCAUUGGCUCAACCAAUGUACGCUUUGGAAACUGUUGAACUUGAGUGCAGAA